This 63-nucleotide transfer RNA is filed under the name uncultured Blautia sp. It matches the Rfam family "tRNA", at positions 6 to 65 of the family's 71-position model. Rfam says of the family: Transfer RNA (tRNA) molecules are approximately 80 nucleotides in length. Their secondary structure includes four short double-helical elements and three loops (D, anti-codon, and T loops). Lineage: Bacteria; Bacillati; Bacillota; Clostridia; Lachnospirales; Lachnospiraceae. The record is from RNAcentral.
CAUAGCUCAGUUGGUAGAGCGGCUGGCUGUUAACCAGCGUGUCGUAGGUUCAAGUCCUACUGG